ACGGAGGGUGCGAGCGUUAAUCGGAAUUACUGGGCGUAAAGCGCGUGUAGGCGGUAGCCUAAGUCAGAUGUGAAAGCCCCGGGCUUAACCUGGGAACUGCAUUUGAUACUGGGCGACUAGAGUACGGUAGAGGGCAGUGGAAUUUCUGGUGUAGCGGUGAAAUGCGUAGAUAUCAGAAGGAACACCAAUGGCGAAGGCAUCUGCCUGGGCCGAAACUGACGCUGAGAUGCGAAAGCGUGGGGAGCAAACAG
This 251-nucleotide ribosomal RNA is filed under the name uncultured bacterium. Its description in RNAcentral is "partial 16S ribosomal RNA". It matches the Rfam family "Bacterial small subunit ribosomal RNA", at positions 525 to 775 of the family's 1533-position model. The record is from RNAcentral.